CGUAGGGGGCAAGCGUUGUCCGGAUUUAUUGGGCGUAAAGCGCUCGCAGGUGGUUCGUCGCGUCGUGCGUGAAAGACCCCGGCUCAACUGGGGAGGGUCGUGCGAUACGGGCGGACUGGAGGCCAGUAGGGGGAUGCGGAAUUCCGGGUGUAGUGGUGGAAUGCGUAGAGAUCCGGAGGAACACCAGCGGCGAAGGCGGCAUCCUGGACUGGUCCUGACACUCAGGAGCGAAAGCGUGGGGAGCGAUCCGGAUUAGAUACCCGGGUAGUCCACGCUGUAAACGAUGCGCACUAGGUGUCGGGGGUAUCGACCCCCUCGGUGCCGCAGCUAACGUGAUAAGUGCGCCGCCUGGGGACUACGGCCGCAAGGCUA
This 372-nucleotide ribosomal RNA is filed under the name uncultured organism. Its description in RNAcentral is "bacterial SSU rRNA". It matches the Rfam family "Bacterial small subunit ribosomal RNA", at positions 526 to 896 of the family's 1533-position model. The record is from RNAcentral.